CAGCAGCCGCGGUAAUACGUAGGGUGCAAGCGUUGUCCGGAAUUAUUGGGCGUAAAGAGCGUGUAGGCGGCUCGACAAGUCCGCUGUGAAAGUCCAGGGCUCAACCCUGGAAUGCCGGUGGAUACUGUCGAGCUAGAGUCCGGAAGGGGCGAGUGGAACUCCUGGUGUAGCGGUGAAAUGCGCAGAUAUCAGGAAGAACACCAAUGGCGAAGGCAGCUCGCUGGGACGUGACUGACGCUGAGACGCGAAAGCGUGGGGAGCGAACAGGAUUAGAUACCCCUGUAGUCCCUGUCUCUUAUAU
RNAcentral lists this ribosomal RNA (301 nucleotides) under uncultured bacterium. Its description in RNAcentral is "partial 16S ribosomal RNA". It matches the Rfam family "Bacterial small subunit ribosomal RNA", at positions 509 to 809 of the family's 1533-position model. The record is from RNAcentral.